AAAAUUUUGUCGACAAAGAGAGUAUUUUUCCAACUAAGUUUAAAGCGAAUUGGGACGGUGUAAGCCAAUAACAGUUGAAAAAAGAAGCGCACUUUGGAAAAAAUAAUUUGAACAUUAUAGUAGAAUUAUUCGGAUUUGUUAUCCGUUAUCAAUCAACAAGUGGCUAAGAGAAUAACCCUUAGCAACAAGAGUGGUACCGCGGGCCUAUUCUCGUCUCUUAU
RNAcentral lists this non-coding RNA (221 nucleotides) under Carnobacterium maltaromaticum. RNAcentral's name for it is "T-box sequence". It matches the Rfam family "T-box leader". From Rfam's summary of the family: Uncharged tRNA acts as the effector for transcription antitermination of genes in the T-box leader family. T-boxes are found upstream of many aminoacyl-tRNA synthetase genes and some amino acid biosynthetic genes usually in Gram-positive bacteria. Lineage: Bacteria; Bacillati; Bacillota; Bacilli; Lactobacillales; Carnobacteriaceae. The record is from RNAcentral.